Molecule: long non-coding RNA, 1984 nt
Filed under: Salvia miltiorrhiza (redroot sage)
Lineage: Eukaryota; Viridiplantae; Streptophyta; Magnoliopsida; Lamiales; Lamiaceae
Description: long non-coding RNA (SMIL_LNC007876)
Source: RNAcentral
UUUUGGAUUAGAACAAGAAAAAGCUUAUGGGAGAAGUCAUUACUUUCUUUAUCCUUAUCUUCCCUACGACUUUCCCUUUCAUGCGUAUAAUCUCCAUUCUUCUUUUACUUCAAGAAAACAUGAAAACCUACUUUUCAUUUUAGUUCCUUGCUCAGACGCUAUUUUCUCCCACUUGUUCUUUCAUUUCUUUUGUUGUUUCCUCACCAAGCUUUCGGAACAAUUGAAUCCUCUUAUAAUCAUCCAAGAGUACAGGUAAGAAUUUUUAUAGUCAAGUAUUCUAUUCACAAUAGAAAUUAGAGAAAACAAUAAUUCUCUUAUCUACUCUGUUUGUUUUGUUUCGAAAGUGGGGGCUGGAAGGAUAGGCUUCAUAUUCAUAUUUUAUCUUAAUUUCUCUAUGCUUUCAAUUAGAGACUGAUUAGAAUUUAGUGAUAGGAUGAAAACAAUCAAAGCUAGAUAAAACCCCCAAUUGUCGAUUCCCUCAAGAACCCUAGAAUUCCAUCUUCUUAAUUUCCAUCAAUUGGCUGCGUAUAUAUAUUUAUAUGUUUGUGAGGGAAUCAUUGAGAUUUAUUUGAGUUUUUAUUUGCAAGAAAUCAUAAUUUUCUAAUAGUUUAGUUUCAAUGGAUGUGGGAAUUCUUGAUAUAAGAUAGCUACAUGUUUGAUGCUUGUGUAAUUGUACUCUUUGAGUUGUAAAAUGAGAUCAUACGAUAGUAAUUGGGGGAUAUCAAGCAUGCUACUAUAUGUUGAUGUGUUAAACAUGAAUUAAGUUUAAGCUAAAGCAUGCUAAUGUGUAUUAGGAUGAUGUAUUUGAGAUCCUAUAGCUUUUAUUUGAGAAAAAUAUGAGUGAUAUGUCAAUGAGCAUUGCUGUCAGUUUUCGGGUUGGACAGAACAGUAUGUUUCGGGGUACUUUUGAUGAUGUUUUCGUAGUCCAAAUAACUUGAAAUUUUUAUUGUAAUAACUUCAUCAUGUGUAGUCGUUCUCUGCAAAAUUUCAGCUAAAUCCGAGACCAUUAGAUAUGCUAACUUAUUUUCUGAAAUGUACUGCCGAAGCAGCGAAGUUCGGUGGCAGAUUUUGCCUUUUGUGAUAUAACUUCUCAUACACUUAAUGUAUUGUAUUUUUGUAACUUUCUAAUAAAAAUAGACUUUGAGAGAUUUCUAAAAAUGUAAAGCUUGUAUUUUUCUUUAAAGAGGUUGAUUUUAUAUGAUAUUUCAAAGUUGAGAUUCAUAUAUAAAUACAUGUUUGAGAUUUCUUACUUGGGAUAGUUAUGAAUAGAAUUAUGCUAAGUGAUUGAUGUUUUAGUUAUUAAUUGUAAGCUAAUCUAUAUAGAAUGGAUUAGUCUACUCUUAAGUUUUUUUCAACUUGAGAUAUCCCAAGAGAUAUGAUGUUAUUGUUUGCUUUUAGUUAGUGAAGUCCAUAUAAGUAGAUUACUUAGAUUAGAGGAAGCAACCCUAAAGUUUCAAGAGAUAUAAGUUUCAAUUAGAAAUUCUUUUCUAUUUAUUUCUUGUCUAUCUAUACAAUCUUACCUUGGGAACCUCAUUAUAAUGAAGGUUCGAGUGACUUUAUAAAGUAAACAAGCAAGGAUCUCUACUUCAUUAAGCAUACCAGGUGGGCAUUACUUUUACUAUACGUAUAUAGAGAUCCCCUGCGUGUCGUAGGCCUCUUAUACGAAUGAAUGCAUGAGAUGAUUUAACUGUUAAUUUCAGUUUUAUAUAUCUAUCAAAUGAGUUUAAUGUUACAUUUGAGCAAGUUAUUUCGUUACAAAAUAUUUGAGUUAAAGUUAUUUCAAGUAUUGUCUUGCCAUAAAAUGUUUAAAUUUUAGUAUGAUAUCUAUCUGCUUUGGCUUUGCCAAUGAUGCAAUCGAAUUCGGGUCCUGAGCAGUUGAUAGCUAUCCUGCCAGGGCUAGUGUACACCAGUGACCGUGAGUCAUCUAGCGGGUUGGCCGGUCAAGUGACCGUGAGAGGUGGCCACCUCUCCGGCACACAGUUCC